This is a long non-coding RNA of Planococcus citri (citrus mealybug), 2791 nucleotides long. RefSeq lists it as uncharacterized. The transcript is spliced from 3 exons. NCBI's taxonomy places the organism in Eukaryota, Metazoa, Arthropoda, Insecta, Hemiptera, Pseudococcidae. The record is from RefSeq and is a predicted model, not a curated record.
AGAAAAACUUCAACUCAACUUUUGUUUACUUUUGUUCUAUGAUACCAAAUUUUACUUAUGACUUGGGAAAAUCUCAUAGUUGAGUUAAGCAUAAGUUGUGUUCUGUGAUAUGGCCCUCAGUCACCUAUUUAUUUUACUUUUGUGGAAAUCAAAGUAGGUACUUCAUGGUAUUCUCACUAAUUUUUGGUUGCGAAAAAAGUCUACGAAUGUGUAAAUGAAAUUGUGUUUCAUGAAGUACGAAGUAUCUUGAAUCAUAGCAGCUAUUGAUAACCCUAUUUACAAAAAUAUACAAAAAUGUUAAGAUAUACGAAAUUUUGCCGAAGAUUUUUCAUCUUAACGUUAAUGUUGAUAAAGGCAAAUGCUGGGCAUUCAUCAAAUAUUGAAAAUUUUUCAACGUUUAAGCGUAUGGAUUUAUACAAGCUCGAAAGCACUUAUCCGGAGCAAUAUUGCUUGCAUUUUGUAUGCGAGAGCAGUGGCCUAUCCGCAGUCCGAAUAGCGCAAAUCAUCGAUAAAGAAAAUGAAAUUCGAAACGAUUUUGCCAACUCGAAUGGUAUUUCAAAUAUAUAUCACGUGGUACAAGAGUAACGUUCUUUUUGAUUUAUGUAUCUACAUACUUUGACAUCAGUUACUCAUUCCAAUCAACUCUAGUGGACUUUUUAUCGCUUUCCUUAAAGGAAUGGAGUCCACUGUUGGCCAACUUCGCACGCAGAAAAGCUCUACUAUGUUUGUAUCGGACUGAUGAAGAAAAUGUGAUUUUUGAAACUCAAAUUUUUGAGGAGUGGUUUGGAUCAAAUGUACAUUCAAAAUUUCCGAAGCCUGUCGCCAUAGAAGUUGUAAUGGAGUAUCAAGUUGAACCCAUCAAUAACAGGCCAGCUAUAUACCUCUACGAUCAAUUAGAAGACGCGUUGGGUGAAUUUUUUUUUCGUGAACAAUAUUUCAACAAGUAAUCGCAGUAAUCGCGUAAUAAUUUACAAAUAAGAAGGCGACUCAAAAUUAAAAAUUUUCAUUUUUUUUUUUUGUCAUUCAAGUCCAAGCGCGAUACGCAGAAGAGGCUCCGUUCUGCAAAUGGGCUGUGAUUACGUAGUACGCAAUAACAAAACGCAUUUAAUAACCCAUCUGGUUUGUGCUUACGGUGUACUUUAUUUUAGUAACGGCGUUUCCAAUGAUUAUUCGGCUGUCAUCGGUACUCCUUGUUCGAAAUGCCAGUUUUACGUCGGUAGAACCUAUUUUCGAACGACUAGCACAGUUCAACAGUGGGGUUGUUUGUCGACAUUUCCUUUCUUAUGCGGUGGUAAAUUUUUUUAUUCACGCUACGUCGCGUCGUCGCAAAUAUGGUAACCAAUUAGACUGACGAGGGAACUCACGCGCGCCGUCAGCGUCACGCCGAUCGGGAUGAAACUGCGCUUGUAGCAACCAUCACUGCACCGUAUACUAGACCAUUUUUUCUCUGAAAAACGUUUCGUUGCGCCGCGCCGCGGUGGCAUAGGCGCAGUUUUAUCUUUCUCAGUCGGCAAUCGGCAUCUCUCAUGAAGUCAUGAGUAAACAUUAUUACGUAUUUCGCAGAUCUUGCAUUGACAUCGCCUCCGGUUGAUAGUUUCCGUCACGAUUGUAACAAAGAUCAAACAACGUCUGCCACGAAACCGGGUUUGAAUGUAGUAACUUCUGUUCCGCUAGACGUCGAAGGUCCGACUAGACCUCCUCACGAAUGGCCCUGUCUGAAGUACGCGAUUCCGUUGAUGUUACUCAUCUGCAUCAUGAUCGUUGCUAUUCUUUAUCAAACGUAUUCCAUUAUCGCGAUGAAACUGAAUUUCAAGUGACGAUAAAUUAUACGAGAGGUGAAAAAAAUCGAUUAUUUUCUCACUUCCUCAUUUCUCGGGUCCCGAUCAAAAAUUCGUCGCACUUUAUAAAAAAUUUAUUAUAAAAUACAUGCGUACCUUAAAUUACCAUUACAAUAACAAUGAUAUAUUGAUCAAUGUGCUACAAAUAUUCGACUUGCGAAUUAGGUAUGUUUCUUUUAGAGCCAGAGCGAAAGAAAAAUAACAAUUUACAAUAACUUCAGAAAUCAUUAUAGUUUGAAAAUAAUUAUUUAGGUAAAUACGGACACUCGAAAUGAAAAUUGAAAAAGAAAAAGAAAAAGAAAACAACACAACGAUACGAAAAGAUUGCUAUUUAAACAAAUAUACGUCAACGACACAACGAAAUCAAUCAAAACAUCAAUUCUCGCUCAAAAAUUAUUUAGUCAAAAUUUUAUUAUUAUUAAAUCGCAUCGUCUCUAAACGCGUAAGUUUUUAAAAUUCUGCACAAUUUUUUCCCCAACACAGUCCACGCAUUAGGUUAGCUACCCAUUUAAAAACAAAAACAGCUAGGUACAUGAUUGCAAGCGAAUUUAUGUAUAUUCAUUAAUGGUACGUAAAAUUACAUUGAAAUACAAAAAUCGUCUCAUUUGCUAAAAUAUAUAAUCAAUUUUGCACAUCGUAAUAAUCAUCUUAUUCGUUAGUCCAUAACGAUAUGAUCUAAAUAAAAACGUAUUUGGGAGAGAGAAAAAUACCAACACUAAAACCAGAGAAGGGAGAACCUUACAUCUUUAUAAUUGCACGAGAAUAAAUUUAAUAAAUUUUUAUAAAGCGUUCAAAUCGCCACAUCUCGAUACCGUUUUUUGUUUACAUGAUUAAUUAUUUAACUUAUAUCAUUAAGUAAUUUACAAAAUAAAGAGUAAGUAAACUCGUUUUCUUAGAUUAGCAAAAGAAUCGGUGCACUUUACAGGUAAACACGUGUUACGUGGCUUGUCUAA